This 254-nucleotide ribosomal RNA is filed under the name uncultured bacterium. Its description in RNAcentral is "partial 16S ribosomal RNA". It matches the Rfam family "Bacterial small subunit ribosomal RNA", at positions 524 to 776 of the family's 1533-position model. The record is from RNAcentral.
UACGUAGGACCCAAGCGUUAUCCGGAUUUACUGGGCGUAAAGAGUUGCGUAGGUGGCAAAGUAAGUUAAUAGUGAAAUCGUGUGGCUCAACCAUACUCACAUUAUUAAAACUGCUUAGCUUGAAGAUGAGAGAGGUCACUGGAAUUCCAAGUGUAGGAGUGAAAUCCGUAGAUAUUUGGAGGAACACCGAUGGCGUAGGCAGGUGACUGGCUCAUUCUUGACACUAAGGCACGAAAGCGUGGGGAGCAAACGGG